UUAGAAGCAAGAUGGAGUCGGUUAGGUCAGACCUCUUUCACUGUCUCAGUUAUAAUUUUGCAAUGGCAGUUUCAGUUGUUGAUCUGGCAGAUGUUUUCUUUUCCCAUCUGGAAAGAGGAUCAAAGCAGAGGACAUUUAUGCAGAAAAGAUAGCAAAAUAUAUUCCAUGCUGCAAGGUUAUGUUAACUCUUCAGGUUUUUGUCACAGUAUAGUAGGAAGGAACUUUGUGUAUCUUAACAUUCCACAGAGCAUCAUAGUAUUUAUUAUAUUGAUGACAUCAUGUUAAUUGUGUUGGUGCAAGGAAGUGGGAAGUAUUCUGGAUACCUUGGCAAGACCCAUGGGUCUUGCGUCAUAGCCUGAGAGAUAAAUCCUACAAUGAUUUAGGGGUCUGCCAUACUUAUGAAGAUUUUAGGGACUCAAUGGUUUGGGCUAUGCAGGGAUAUCCCCUUUAAGAUGCCAAGAACCUGGACAUCCUCCACCAGAACAAUCUCACAACAUGUCAAGUUUCCAGAGAUUGCUACUGCCUUCUUAAGCAGAUUUUCAAUGACCUAAGUUCCACUGGAAGUAGACCUAACAUAACUAGGAUGAACAGGAAACCUCUGAAUGUGAAAGUGAACACUAUUAAUACUUACAUGAAGGCAACAGGCAUGAACUGGAACAACCUUGGCCAUGCUGGGACGUAUGUUCACCCUAAGCAAAGAUCAGGAAUUCAGGCAGGGCUUGGCUGAGUGACUUCUCUGUUCCACAUGGCAUUGACACGGUACGUUUCAGCUGGUGGCUGGCCUGGUCUGGUGGGUCCAAGGUAGCUUUGUUCACAUGCCUGCUGUCUUGGUGAGGUGGCCAGAAGUUUGGGCUGAGCUAGUUCUUUCUCUCUUUUUCUGCAGUCUCAGGGCCUCUCCAUGUGUUUUCUCGAGCAAUGUGUUUGGUCUUCUGGAAUUAUGAUUCAUGGAUUCAAGAGACCACGGUAGAAGCUUCUAAUCCUCUUAAAAAGCAAGACUGAUCAUGGGAAACUGUCCUGUCCACUAGUACAUUAUUUAAAUGGGAGAUCUGGAAAUACUGUUUCUGGAGAAAGCUCUUCCUGACCUUGAGGAAAGGAAUCAAUGCUCUGGGGUCCAGGUUUAAUGGAUUAUCAUUCCUGUUAGCCAUUAAUAGCUACUGUGUCAGAAAAAGAGAAAAUAGAAUUUUUCUUCAGUGGCAACAGGAGAAAGGGGACGUAGGUUAAAUUGGCUGAGGAAGGGGGGAGAAGUGUAUGUGUGGAAGUGAACACAAGGGCUAGCAGGGAGGUCACUGCCAGAGAAGUUCCAUGCCCCACCCUGAUGGUCCUGGUCUGUAUUGGGAGCUUCGGUGCUGGCCUUAAGCGUACUGCAGGUGAACGACAGCCACUGUGGGUGCCCAGCUGAGUCCUCUUUCCUUUACUCCGCAGCAAUCAGAGGAAGCUACUCUCUGAUUUGUAACCUACUUCUGUCUCCAGGACAACCAUAAGACCAAAGGACUCCUUGGACACCUAGUCAGGAGGGUGGUGAGUUGAACUGAGCAAGCUUGAGCAUCUCAAACUGAAGUGGACACUUGCGCUUUAUACAGAGUAAGGCCCAAAUUGAAUUAACCUGGAGUGAGUCUGCAACAAGCCUAGCGUCUGCAUUUCUAUAACUGAUCUCAGCUAACACUGGAGCUACUUAAAUUCCCAAUGAUUUUAGAAAACUAUUUUUUUUAAAGUGUGUGAUUUGAAGGUAAAUGAACCUAUUCCAAUUUAACUGCUUUAUUUUUGUGGUUGCAUAUAUAAUCAUAUUUAAGCAAUUUAAAAUCCAAACUCCCUUUUGGAGCUGUUUUAUUUUCUGAAGGGUCUUCCUUCCUUUUUCUUAUGCCCAAGAUGGUGUCUGGGUGCAGAAGGAAGCUUAUUUACCUUCCGGCUUUGGGGAAGGGCUCCUUACCCAAGUGAUGUGGUUCUCUCGUUUCCCUGUUGAUCACCAGCUGAGAUAUGUACUCACCUCACUUGACUUCUAUCCUCACUGUGUCUGCUGAUAAAAUGUCAGUUUUGUCCUCCAUUAGCUUUCUGGCCUGCCUGUGUAACCCAAGGCCUUCAGUGUCAUCUCACCUCUCUCUGUAGUGACCCAAAGGCAAGUUCAUAGAUUCCUGACUCUUGGCUAGCUUCUAUGACUUUUUCUAGGAACAAGUAGGAGCUUCUGGCUCUUUUCUAUACUGCAAGGGAAAGUGUAGUAAACUUGAGGAUGGCUAAUACAGUCCCCUCUAACAACUCAUGCUUCUUUCUCCUCCACUGCAAACACACAUGCUGGUUUAGGCCAGCAGGCACUAUGUGUGGUGUGGUGGUCUGCCCUCUGUCCCAGACAGGAAUUGCAGUGCCUGAGGGCCUUUUUCCACCCAGGGCACAACUCGCCAGUUUGAAGUUUCUAGCUUAUCUAUCUUCUCUGCCUCAUUUCUGGCUCCACAUUCAACCCCUCCACUGGCUAAAUCUUAGGGGUCCAGAGUGGGACCACUGAGAUCCUAAAGAAUCCAGGCAGGGCGUGCACUUUGCUCCCUGCUAAGCUCUCCUGCUGCUCAGGAGGGGUGUGUGCCCUCUCCUCAAUCUGGUAGAUACUUCUUUCAUCAUUGGUUUUGAAAUCCUCCACUGAUGACUUUGUUGUUCUGGGUGUUUCCUCUGUCCUCUCCUCUCAUAUCUUAAUGGUGGAUAGGGUUUUAGGGAUUAAAAAAUCUCUGGAUUACUGAAAGGAAAAAUGUUUAGAGAGGCAUUUAAGAUGAUUUUUCUUAUUAUCACUUUUAAACCCACACUGAAGGUCUAGGUCCUAUACCUGUUCUGUUGGAAUCUUGGCCAAUCUCACAGUUUUUCUGGUCAUUCUUAGAAUAGUUAUAAUGGCCUUUGUUUAAAAAACAAUUUCAUAUGAAAACUAAAAUAUGCAGGUCAGCAUAAUAAUCAAACCCUUAUACUCUUACCUAAAUGUCAUUACGUAGGUUUCCCCCAAACAUCACCUCCUCAGGGAGGCUUUCUCUGACCAUUAAAUGUAGCCUCAUGGAAGUUCUAGGCAACCUUUGCCAUUUCCUGUUGUAACACCUUGAUUUAGUUCACUUAACAUAUACAUAUUGGGGGCUUACUACGUGGCAUCCAGAAUUAUUCUAGGCACUAGGAAUAUCACAAUAAAUAAGACAGAGCCGGUCCUUUACCUAGUGGAAGGACACAAGCACUAGACAAACAAUUAAAUGAGCAAGAAAAAUAUCAUUUAGCAGCAUGUGCUAUGCAGAUAAUUUUGUUUUUUGAGACAGAGUCUCACUGUGUCACCCAGGCUGGAGUGCAG
RNAcentral lists this long non-coding RNA (3304 nucleotides) under Homo sapiens (human). Its description in RNAcentral is "HSALNT0322809". The record is from RNAcentral. Lineage: Eukaryota; Metazoa; Chordata; Mammalia; Primates; Hominidae.